CCUACGGGGCGCAGCAGUGGGGAAUAUUGGGCAAUGGGCGCAAGCCUGACCCAGCAAUGCCGCGUGAAGGAAGAAGGCUUUCGGGUUGUAAACUUCUUUGACAGGGGAAGAGCAGAAGACGGUACCCUGAACCCCAGCCACGGCUAACUACGUGCCAGCAGCCGCGGUAAUACGUAGGUGGCAAGCGUUGUCCGGAUUUACUGGGUGUAAAGGGCGGGUAGCCGGGAAGGCAAGUCAGAUGUGAAAUCUGGAGGCUCAACCUCCAAAUUGCAUUUGAAACUGUUUUUCUUGAGUACUGGAGAGGGAGACGGAAUUCCGGGUGUAGCGGGGAAAUGCGUAGAUAUAAGGAGGAACACCAGUGGCGAAGGCGGUCUGCUGGACAGCAACGGACGGUGAGGCGCGAAAGCGUGGGGAGCAAACAGGAUUAGAUACCCCUGUAGUC
Molecule: ribosomal RNA, 442 nt
Filed under: uncultured bacterium
Lineage: Bacteria
Description: partial 16S ribosomal RNA
Rfam family: Bacterial small subunit ribosomal RNA
Source: RNAcentral